GGCAAGAUGGCCGAGCGGUCUAAGGCGCCAGACUCAAGUGACCGAGUACGACUCAAGUACUCCACCACUUCCGAAUCACCAGGUUCGGCGUAUUCUGGUCUCGAAAGAGGCGUGGGUUCAAAUCCCACUCUUGUCA
The sequence is a transfer RNA, 136 nucleotides long. It matches the Rfam family "tRNA". From Rfam's summary of the family: Transfer RNA (tRNA) molecules are approximately 80 nucleotides in length. Their secondary structure includes four short double-helical elements and three loops (D, anti-codon, and T loops). The record is from Rfam.